ACGACGCUGGCGGCGUGCCUAACACAUGCAAGUCGAGCGGAGAUGAUGUGAGGAAGUUUUCGGAUGGAAUCACAUUAUUUAGCGGCGGACGGGUGAGUAACGCGUGAGCGACCAACCUUGCACAGGGGGAUAACGGACCGAAAGGUUCACUAAUACCGCAUGAGACCACGGUGUUGCAUGACACAGGGGUCAAAGGAGCAAUCCGGUGCAAGACGGGCUCGCGUCCGAUUAGGUAGUUGGUGGGGUAAUGGCCCACCAAGCCUAUGAUCGGUAGCCGACCUGAGAGGGUGAUCGGCCACAUUGGAACUGAGAUACGGUCCAAACUCCUACGGGAGGCAGCAGUGGGGAAUAUUGGGCAAAUGGGGGAAACCCUGACCCAGCAACGCCGCGUGAAGGAAGAAGGUUUUCGGAUUGUAAACUUCUGUCCUUGGUGAAGAGAAGAAGACGGUAGCCAAGGAGGAAGCCCCGGCUAACUACGUGCCAGCCGCAGC
This 491-nucleotide ribosomal RNA is filed under the name uncultured bacterium. RNAcentral describes it as "bacterial SSU rRNA". It matches the Rfam family "Bacterial small subunit ribosomal RNA", at positions 33 to 518 of the family's 1533-position model. The record is from RNAcentral.